UACGGAGGGGACUAGCGUUGUUCGGAAUUACUGGGCGUAAAGCGCACGUAGGCGGUUUUGUAAGUCAGGGGUGAAAUCCCGGGGCUCAACCCCGGAACUGCCUUUGAUACUGCGAAUCUCGAGUCCGGAAGAGGUGAGUGGAAUUCCUAGUGUAGAGGUGAAAUUCGUAGAUAUUAGGAAGAACACCAGUGGCGAAGGCGGCUCACUGGUCCGGUACUGACGCUGAGGUGCGAAAGCGUGGGGAGCAAACAGG
RNAcentral lists this ribosomal RNA (253 nucleotides) under uncultured bacterium. Its description in RNAcentral is "partial 16S ribosomal RNA". It matches the Rfam family "Bacterial small subunit ribosomal RNA", at positions 524 to 776 of the family's 1533-position model. The record is from RNAcentral.